Molecule: ribosomal RNA, 253 nt
Filed under: uncultured bacterium
Lineage: Bacteria
Description: partial 16S ribosomal RNA
Rfam family: Bacterial small subunit ribosomal RNA
Source: RNAcentral
UACGUAGGGGGCAAGCGUUGUCCGGAUUUACUGGGUGUAAAGGGCGCGCAGGUGGGCUUGAUAGUUAGAGGUGAAAUCCUGUGGCUUAACUGCAGAACUGCCUUUAAUACUUCAAGUCUUGAGUGCGGAAGAGAGAGACGGAAUUCCAGGUGUAGUGGUGAAAUACGUAGAUAUCUGGAAGAACACCAGUUGCGAAGGCGGUCUCUUGGUCCGUAACUGACACUCAGGAGCGAAAGCGUGGGGAGCAAACAGG